This 483-nucleotide ribosomal RNA is filed under the name uncultured bacterium. Its description in RNAcentral is "partial 16S ribosomal RNA". It matches the Rfam family "Bacterial small subunit ribosomal RNA", at positions 30 to 507 of the family's 1533-position model. The record is from RNAcentral.
AUUGAACGCUGGCGGCAGGCCUAACACAUGCAAGUCGAGCGGAUGAAGGGAGCUUGCUCCUGGAUUCAGCGGCGGACGGGUGAGUAUUGCCUAGGAAUCUGCCUGGUAGUGGGGGAUAACGUCCGGAAACGGGCGCUAAUACCGCAUACGUCCUGAGGGAGAAAGUGGGGGAUCUUCGGACCUCACGCUAUCAGAUGAGCCUAGGUCGGAUUAGCUAGUUGGUGGGGUAAAGGCCUACCAAGGCGACGAUCCGUAACUGGUCUGAGAGGAUGAUCAGUCACACUGGAACUGAGACACGGUCCAGACUCCUACGGGAGGCAGCAGUGGGGAAUAUUGGACAAUGGGCGAAAGCCUGAUCCAGCCAUGCCGCGUGUGUGAAGAAGGUCUUCGGAUUGUAAGCACUUUAAGUUGGGAGGAAGGGCAGUAAGUUAAUACCUUGCUGUUUUGACGUUACCAACAGAAUAAGCACCGGCUAACUUCGUG